RNAcentral lists this ribosomal RNA (459 nucleotides) under uncultured bacterium. RNAcentral's name for it is "partial 16S ribosomal RNA". It matches the Rfam family "Bacterial small subunit ribosomal RNA", at positions 339 to 795 of the family's 1533-position model. The record is from RNAcentral.
CUACGGGGCGCACCAGUGAGGAAUAUUGGUCAAUGGGCGCGAGCCUGAACCAGCCAUCCCGCGUGCAGGAUGACGGCCCUAUGGGUUGUAAACUGCUUUUCUAUGCCAAGAAACCUGAUUACGUGUAAUCAGUUGCCGGUAGCAUAGGAAUAAGCAUCGGCUAACUCCGUGCCAGCAGCCGCGGUAAUAAGGAGGAUGCAAGCGUUAUCCGAAUUCAUUGGGUUUAAAGGGUGCGCAGGUGGGCUUGUAAGUCAGUGGUGAAAUGCUGCCGCUUAACGGUAGAACUGCCAUUGAUACUGCGAGUCUUGAGUAUGGUUGAGGUAGGCGGAAUGUGUUGUGUAGCGGUGAAAUGCAUAGAUAUGACACAGAACGCCAAUUGCGAAGGCAGCUUACUAAGCCAUUACUGACGCUGAGGCACGAAAGCGUGGGGAGCGAACAGGAUUAGAUACCCUAGUAGUC